This 157-nucleotide ribosomal RNA is filed under the name uncultured Methanosaeta sp. Its description in RNAcentral is "partial 16S ribosomal RNA". It matches the Rfam family "Archaeal small subunit ribosomal RNA", at positions 1182 to 1338 of the family's 1478-position model. Lineage: Archaea; Methanobacteriati; Methanobacteriota; Methanomicrobia; Methanotrichales; Methanotrichaceae. The record is from RNAcentral.
UACAAUGGUUGGUACAAUGGGUAUCUACCCCGAAAGGGGAUGGAAAUCUCCUAAAGCCAAUCUUAGUCCGGAUUGAGGGCUGCAACUCGCCCUCAUGAAGCUGGAAUCCGUAGUAAUCGCGUUUCAACAGAACGCGGUGAAUACGUCCCUGCUCCUU